ACACGGGGGGGGCAAGCGUUGUCCGGAAUUAUUGGGCGUAAAGGGCGCGUAGGUGGGAUAGCAAGUCUGGGGUGCAAACUUAUGGCUUAACUGUAAGCUUGCCCUGGAUACUACUAUUCUUGAGUUCGGGAGAGGGAAGUGGAAUUCCUGGUGUAGCGGUGAAAUGCGUAGAUAUCAGGAAGAACACCGGUGGCGAAGGCGGCUUCCUGGCCCGAUACUGACACUGAGGCGCGAAAGUGCGGGGAGCAAACAGGAUUAGAUACCCUGGUAGUCCGCACAGUAAACGUUGGACACUAGGUGUUGGUCUCUAUGAGAUCAGCGCCGCAGCUAACGCAUUAAGUGUCCCGCCUGGGGAGUACGACCGCAAGGUUGAA
Molecule: ribosomal RNA, 374 nt
Filed under: uncultured bacterium
Lineage: Bacteria
Description: bacterial SSU rRNA
Rfam family: Bacterial small subunit ribosomal RNA
Source: RNAcentral